AACCUCCGUCUCCUGGGUUCAAGUGAUUCUCCUGCCUCAGUCUCCUGAGUAGCUGGGAUUACAGGCUUGCGCCACCACACCCAACUAAUUUUUGUAUUUUGGGAGAGAUGGGGUUUCACCAUGUUGGUCAGGCUGGUCUUGAACUCCUAACCUUGUGAUCCAUCCGCCUUGGCCUCCCAAAGUGCUGGGAUUACAGGUUUGAGCCACUGCGCCUGGCAGCAUGGUAAGAAAUUGUUUUUCAAAGUGGUCAUACUAUUUGACAUUACCACCAGCAAUGCAUGAGAGCCCAUAGCAUUCUAUGGUUUGUCUUUUCAUUUUCUUUUUUUCCAUGAGACAGGGUCUCAUGCUGUCUCCCAGGCUGCAGUGCAGUGGUAUAAUUGUAGCUAAAUGCAAUCUCGAACUCCUGGGCUCAAGUGAUCCUCCCACCUCAGCCUUCUGAGUAGCUGGGAUGAUAGGCACACGCCACUAUGCCUGGCUAAUUAUUUUUAUUUCAAUUUUUUAUCUUUAGUAGAGAUGAGAUCUCGCUAUGUUGCCCAGGCUGGUCUUGAACUCCUGGGCUCAAGUGAUCCUACUGCCUCAGCUUCCCAAAAUGCUGGGAAUACAGGUGUGAGCCACCACACCCACCUGUUUUUUCAUUUUCCUAAUGUUAUCUUUCAAAGAGCCAAAGUUUCUAAUUGUGACAGCGUCCAAUUUAUUAAACAUUUUCCUUGAUUGCCUACCUUAAGGUAAGGUUGCAAAUAUUUUCUCCUAUAUUUUCUUCUAGAAUUGUAUAGUUUUGGCUUUUUGUUUAGGUCUAUGAUACACUCAAACUAACUUUAUGGGUGGUGUGAGGUAAGAAUCAAGGGUCUUAUUUAUUUAUUUAUUUAUUUAUUUAUUUAAGAUGGAGUCUCAUUGUCUCCCUCUCCCUCGCCCUCGCCCUCGCCCUCGCCCUCGCCCUCUCCCUCUCCCCACGGUCUCCCUCUGAUGCCGAGCUGAAGCUGGACGGUACUGCUGCCUGAUUCUCCUGCCUCAGCCUGCCGAGUGCCUGCGAUUGCAGGUGCGCGCCGCCACGCCUGACUGGUUUUCGUAUUUUUUUGGUGGAGACGGGGUUUCGCUGUGUUGGCCGGGCUGGUCUCCAGCCCCUAACCGCGAGUGAUCCGCCAGCCUCGGCCUCCCGAGGUGCCGGGAUUGCAGACGGAGUCUCGUUCACUCAGUGCUCAAUGGUGCCCAGGCUGGAGUGCAGUGGCGUGAUCUCGGCUCACUACAACCUCCACCUCCCAGCCGCCUGCCUUGGCCUCCCAAAGAGCCGAGAUUGCAGCCUCUGCCCGGCCGCCACCCCGUCUGGGAAGUGAGGAGCGUCUCUGCCUGGCCGCCCAUCGUCUGGGAUGUGAGGAGCCCCUCUGCCUGGCUGCCCAGUCUGGAAAGUGAGGAGCGCCUCUUCCCGGCCGCCAUCCCAUCUAGGAAGUGAGGAGCGUCUCUGCCCGGCCGCCCAACGUCUGAGAUGUGGGGAGCGCCUCCGCCCCGCCGCCCCGUCUGGGAGUUAGAGGUGGAGUCUCACUAAGUUGCCCAGGCUGGUCUCAAACUCUUGGCCUGAAGCAACCCUCCUGCCUUGGCCUCCCAAAGUGCUGGGAUUAUAGGCAUGAGCCACCAUGCUUGGUCUACCUUGUUUUAAGAGUUGACUUUCGUAUCAUGCUGGAGAAUGACCUAUUCUAAAUAAAUGCCGUGGAAUUCAGUAGGUAG
Molecule: long non-coding RNA, 1719 nt
Filed under: Homo sapiens (human)
Lineage: Eukaryota; Metazoa; Chordata; Mammalia; Primates; Hominidae
Description: HSALNT0067463
Source: RNAcentral